AUGACUUGUGGGGAGAACUUCCCCAGUGCUUGCCCUUUGCUCCUUUCAGUUUCUUCGGAUGAGGCACAGGGUGGGUGUGACUCAUUGCUGCUUUCGGGAAGUGGCAGGGGCUCACGGCUGUGCUGCUCGUCAUCAGCAUCCUCCCCGAUAAGGCUGCGCUGGCUGCAAGGCUGCAGCAUUGGUGCUAAGGUCUUCAUCAGAAGGACGUCCCUUACCCUUCCAUUAACUUCCUGAAGAGGUGUCACACUAAAGAUGCAGGGAGAGGGUACAACAGUAAGUAAGCAGAAACUCUCUCCAUUGUGCAAGGGAGACAGGAAAAGGCAGCAACAAAGCAAGAAAGACAAAAGUGAGAAGAAACAGACUUAAGGGCAGUAAUAAGAGAGCAGGGGAAGAAGAGAAGCAAUAGUGCUGACGAACACUAGCCUCAAAAGCUGAUCUGACUCAGGUCCUUCAAAAGCUUGAGACUGCUUUAUAAAUACAAAACUUACCAAAGCAGGAGUUCAACAGUUGGUUUUUGUCUUGUUCCUCUUUUGGCAUACAGGGCUGUAGGCAUUGGUUCCUUGCUACCGAAUAUUCUCUGGAAAAAUGAGGUUUGAAGAGGGGGAGGAGGGUUAAUGUAACCCAGGACUUCUACAUGCUCACAUGACUCCCAGAGUUGGGGGUGUAAGUGAGCUGCCAGCUUGGUUUGACCAUCAGCAGUGCUGAUGCUGUCAGAAGAAAAGAAGAGGAGCUAUACAUGAUAGACCAAGAGCAGCCAAGGUACUGAAAUAUCUUUAUCAGACUACAUUUGCCUUGAAAGCAAAAGGGCUUUGAACAAUUAGGGAGGAAAAAAAUCACCAAAGUUGCCGUGUGGAAACAUGAUACUUUUGCACAAAGUCCAGCCUUGCACAUGGUCAAUAUGAAAAGCUGCUGCCAUCUGUUGGGAGGUGGCUGGGGCAUGGUGGGAGAAGUCUGCCAGAGAAGGACCUGAGAAUCCAGUUGGGACACAAAGGAUUUAACCUCCAUCCUCACUGCAAAGGACCAUAUCCAAGGGAAAGGAGCUCUCCAUGGGGUAUCAUACCUGCCCACAAUCUCAGCAGGGCUGUAGUACUAUGACUAGGCAAGGUCCUAGCAUGCCUUGUGUCGAUGGGCUAAUAGGAAUGAGUACAGAGCAGUUUGGGAUGGAAGAUUGUUUUGAUUGUAUGAAACAUCUCUCAAGGGAAGGGCCAUGCAGGGAACACCAAGAUCUGCAGACAGAGUUCAGGGCAAAGGCUGCAGGACCUCUCGGUGGCCAAUAGGCCAAUGGUGCACUGCAUUUAUGAAUAGGUGUGUCCCAGCUUGGACAUGUACAUCUUUUGGCUGAGAUACCACUCUUUUGCUAGAUUUUGCUAGAUUAUUUUGACCCAUGGACCUUCAAUGCAGAAAAUCAGAUGAUGCGCCUACUGUUUCUUGCUUGAUGUUUCUUAGCAAGCAAACAUGGUACGGUGGGUGGAUGCAAAGCUAGUUUACAUUUUUACGCUAGUUUUACUCCUCUGUAAAUCCUACUCAGUAAUGACUAAUCCCCAAGUUGAUUCCCCUUUCCCAUUCGGAUUAUUUUAUUUUCACUAGAUUUUGAUACUUAAUACAGUUUAACCAUUUAGAGUCUACCUGUUAUGAUUUUUCAAGUGCUAUAAGGCUGGCUCUAGGGUAGUACCCUAAUAUUGCUUACUUGUAGUAGUGAAUACCAGGAUUGUGAUAAAACCAAAGGCAAUGGAAAUAAUAAGACACCAACCCUCUAGAAAAAGCAGAAAUACUUGAAGGAAAAUGCACUGAAAAAGCAGAUUGCAAAAUAAACUGUGGCAAAUGCCUAUGAGCA
This 1834-nucleotide long non-coding RNA is filed under the name Anas platyrhynchos platyrhynchos (common mallard). Its description in RNAcentral is "lncRNA (ENSAPLG00000025209.1)". The record is from RNAcentral. Lineage: Eukaryota; Metazoa; Chordata; Aves; Anseriformes; Anatidae.